AUUGAACGCUGGCGGCGUGCCUAACACAUGCAAGUCGAACGCGAAAGUUCCUUCGGGGAUGAGUAAAGUGGCGCACGGGUGAGUAACGCGUGGAUAAUCUACCGGGAAGUAUGGAAUAACGGCUGGAAACGGUCGCUAAUACCGUAUACGCAAAUAAAUUAUCUUUUUAUUUGGAAAGGAGGCCUCUGCAUAUGCUUCCGCUUUUCGAUGAGUGCGCGUCCCAUUAGCUAGUUGGCGGGGUAAAAGCCCACCAAGGCGACGAUGGGUAACUGGUCUGAGAGGAUGAUCAGUCACACUGGGACUGGAACACGGCCCAGACUCCUACGGGAGGCAGCAGUGGGGAAUAUUGCGCAAUGGGCGAAAGCCUGACGCAGCGACGCCGCGUGAGGGAUGAAGGCCUUCGGGUCGUAAACCUCUGUCGGAAGGGAAGAACCGCAACUGUGCUAAUCAGCAGUUGUCUGACGGUACCUUCAAAGGAAGCACCGGCUAACUCCGUGCCAGCAGCCGCAGUAAUAC
RNAcentral lists this ribosomal RNA (516 nucleotides) under uncultured bacterium. RNAcentral describes it as "bacterial SSU rRNA". It matches the Rfam family "Bacterial small subunit ribosomal RNA", at positions 30 to 526 of the family's 1533-position model. The record is from RNAcentral.